GUAGAAAAACCUACACCUCUUGGCCAUAUCUUUCCUUUUACUUGGUUUGUUAAGACGUAGCUCGAUAGCAGACGGCUUAGGCCCACGAGUCCAUUCUUGAAACUGAUCCUCAAUAAACUCAAGUUUAGGGAUUUUGAUCCAAUGGUACCUCCAUUCCUUAGAGAGGAUGCUUGUUCUUGCUGCCUCUUGAAUCGGAAGCUUGCUGAUUCUAUCCAUCUUAGGAUACCCUUGUUAGCUGCAAAAUAAGCUAGCUACUAUGGGAAUAUGUUUAGUCUACACAUAAAACAACAACAACAACAACAAAACCGAGUAACAUAAACAAAAAAACCGAUGAAAAUGAAAGGGAUUGACCCAAUUAGGGUUGGAACAGAACCAAUUAGGUUAGUGACUUUAACAGCGAAAAAUCAUUGC
This 411-nucleotide long non-coding RNA is filed under the name Helianthus annuus (common sunflower). RNAcentral describes it as "sRNA HanXRQr2_Chr07g0279721". The record is from RNAcentral. Lineage: Eukaryota; Viridiplantae; Streptophyta; Magnoliopsida; Asterales; Asteraceae.